This is a long non-coding RNA of Passer domesticus (house sparrow), 2796 nucleotides long. RefSeq lists it as uncharacterized. Lineage: Eukaryota; Metazoa; Chordata; Aves; Passeriformes; Passeridae. The transcript is spliced from 2 exons. The record is from RefSeq and is a predicted model, not a curated record.
AGUAGAGCCCCAUCACUGGCCACAAUCAAGUUUGUGGUUGGCUAGGUGCUGGCUAGUCUCUUCCAGGCUGCCUGUCCCACACGAGGGCUGGAUGAGGUCACCUUCCAAGGUAUUAAAGAAGCUUUGUACAGAGAAUGUCGGACUCCAAAACUGAAGGCAGGAUCCCGGACCUUGGUCACUGACAACUGGAAGGUGAAAUUGGGAUGAGAAGAGGUGAAUAUGGUGCCUCAUUCUCCAGAGUUGUCCUCAAGUGAAGGCUGUACAGUAUAACAAAUUGGUGGGCUGACUUACCUUUCCCAGGCUGUAUUCUGCUGGACCUGGACCUGCUCCCUUCCCAGCAAAUUUGGUUUUUAGUCCCAUUGAGUACUUGGGAGCCCUGGUUUUGUAGACGUCCAGAUCCACCCUAUCAAAUGCUGCAGGACCUGGUGUCUGCAAGAGAAGCAAUGAGGUUGGUGGGUACAAGAGGCAGUGUGAAUUCUUCGUGGGUGUCCAUGAGCAGUGCGCUGCUUGAGGUGGCUGGCCAGAGGAGCAGUGGGGGAGGUCUGGAGCCUUGGGAAUGAGGGCUCCUUGGGAAGAGAGGUAGAUUUCCCAGAGGACGAGGGAGAUUAUUGCCAUUAGUGCCAGUGAGCUGUACCGUGCCAAAGCUGCUGGUGUGGAAAAAUGAGAGGCUGCAGGUGUCGGUGUUACUGGUAAUGGCAGAGCCAGAGGCCCUGUAGCUUCUUGUGCUUUGCUGCAGGUGCAGGGUAAUGUGUCUUAUGUGGGGAUAAAACAGGCAUUGGGGCUCUUCUGUCCUGAGCAGUGCAGCUGAGCUUCUGCUGCUGCUGUGAGAGAACAGACAAGCACAGCUCACCUUUGCCACGUCUUGAAAACAGCUCUGGUAAUUACUCUUCCCCUUCAUGGAGUAGCACGGUUCGGCAUGAGUGUACGCUGUGUGGGGUCCCAGAAUCCUUGGAAGGGUGUAGGUGCCAGGACCUGGAAAUGGAAUAGGUAGAUGGGAUAGGUCAGUCCUGUGGGAAAGGGUGCAAUGCCUGGGUGGAAGAGAGUCAGCCUUCCAAGCUGGUUGUGAGGAGCAAGGGUGUCCUGCCCCUCAUCCCAAUGCCUCUGGCUUUUGUUGCAUGGAGUGUGCCUUGGCUGUUUGAAGCCAGAGCUGCCAGUUCUUCUGUGAGAUGGGAGAAGUUGAUGCUGUGGAACAGGAAAAAGCUUGUUGAGCACACACUGUGUCUUGCUGCCUAGGCUUUUUGCUAGGCCUGUUGAAGAAGCUGCAGAUGCUCCCUGGAGGACACACAGGCUGUAAGAGUGUCUGUUUCCCCAAGUUCCAUACCUGGUGUUCGGAAACCUUUUAGGUCCUUGGGCCGAGACGCCAGGCUAUUCGCUGGUGCGCUAUGGUAGACGUGUUUGUUGGCAGGAUCCGUGGUGUAGUCACCUGGGACAGAGAAGGAGACAUGAAAAGAAGUGAAGCUGGGAACCUAACUGCAAGCCAAAGAGGAGAAGGCAGGAGGAGGUGCUCAGUCUUGCUUCCUGUCUGGAGCUCUCUGAAGCCCAUUCAGGGCAUGGGCAGAGGGGGCUUUGUGCCCCAGUGGCAAAGGGCAACAGUAAGGCAUGCUUGUCUGGCCUGAAAGAAGGGAUGCAGAAAUGCUACGCACUGGGUCCAGGCGUGACCAAAAUCUUGGUCUUUGGACGUGCUGUCACAAGUGCCGAUGGAGCCAUCUGCUUCCCAGUCUUGGUAAUGGAUGAUUCGAUGAAGUAUCGAGGACCUGGUGAGCAGGUUGCUUCGGAGGGAGCUUUGGUCCCUCGAAAUGAGUAUGCAGGGGCUCUGUCUUUGGUGGGAUCAUGAGCCAUAUAACCUGGGAAGAAAAGCUUGUGAAAGGACCUGUGCCUGCAAUUGUCUAGUAAAAGGAGGUUUCUAAGCAGAAGCAAACACUGUGCUGCGCUGCCCACUGCCACUACCUCCCCGUGAUAGUUGGUUUACCUGUUGACCCAGGAAGCCCGUACUUGGGACCUGGGGUGCUGAAUUCUGCAAGUAUUGGGCCCCGUCGGGGAUGAGGUCUCCAGGUGCCUACCCAGGGUCCCUCCAUGCUGGUGGCCAAAGAAACUACAGGAAAAACAGGAGAGCUACCAAAGGGCUUCUCUGACACAGCGCUGGUACAGAGCUUUCCUGUAGCCCAGAGCAGGAAGAAAGCAAAACUAGCAUCACGAGAGAAAGUGAAGGAAAGUGAAGAGCAACAAGAAGUAGUAGAUGGAGGAGAAGGCGGAAUGGAGGGAAAACAGCAAGUUAGAAGCAAAGAUGCAGCAAAAACUCCUGGUGUGCCCUCAGGCAGUAAUUGUUGGCGUAGAAGCGCAGCUCUGGCUUGGCUUGGAGGUAUCCUCCUGCGCAUCUACAAAUGAAUUUACUCAGCUGGAGUGUGGUGCUGACAGGGUGAGGUGCAGGGAGGGACACCAGCCCCUCGCUGACAUCAUAAUCCAUUGCUAGGUGGAUCCCUCAUCAUUGACAUCCAUCACCAGGUGACAUCCCAAAGGGCCAUUCUCACCCAGUGACGAGCAAACCCCGCUGUGAUUUUGAGACCCUUAAGCUGUUCAUGCUGCAGCACUGCCGUGUGGCCUGCAGGGCUCCUCUGGGGCUGGGCAUGGGGCUGCCAUGGAACUGGCUCAGUUCAGUGUAGGGCAGUCCCAGUUUGUCCUCACACAGACCUGCUUUUGUUCCCAUGUGCCCAGAGACCCAGCACAGCCCUUUCUAGUCCAGUGGUGCUGAGCACAGGGCUUUUUUCACCAGAGUGAAAUAAACUUAUCCAAAACCAA